This 508-nucleotide ribosomal RNA is filed under the name uncultured bacterium. RNAcentral describes it as "bacterial SSU rRNA". It matches the Rfam family "Bacterial small subunit ribosomal RNA", at positions 30 to 523 of the family's 1533-position model. The record is from RNAcentral.
AGUGAACGCUGGCGGCAGGCCUAAUACAUGCAAGUCGAACGGCAGCACAGCAGAGCUUGCUCUGUGGGUGGCGAGUGGCGGACGGGUGAGGAAUACGUGGGAAUCUGCCCAGUCGUGGGGGAUAACGUAGGGAAACUUACGCUAAUACCGCAUGCGCCCUUCGGGGGAAAGCCGGGGGACCUUCGGGGCCUGGCGCGAUUGGAUGAGCCCACGUCGGAUUAGCUAGUUGGCGGGGUAAAGGCCCACCAAGGCGACGAUCCGUAGCUGGUCUGAGAGGAUGAUCAGCCACACUGGAACUGAGACACGGUCCAGACUCCUACGGGAGGCAGCAGUAGGGAAUAUUGGACAAUGGGCGCAAGCCUGAUCCAGCCAUGCCGCGUGAGUGUAGAAGGCCCUCGGGUUGUAAAGCUCUUUUGUCCGGAAAGAAAGCGCCGGGUUAAUACCCGUGGUGUCCUGACGGUACCGGAAGAAUAAGCACCGGCUAACUUCGUGCCAGCAGCCGCGGUAA